UGUUAUAUAAGCCCUCACUUUCGCUCGGGCAAAAAUAAUCACGAAUAUAAUGCCUACCCAUGUUAAAACUACAAUAAAGUAUAGCUUGCAUUAAUUAUUUCGAUUCUGAAUAGUCUAAUUAAGGUAAUUUCUAUGUCAAGCUAUACUUAAUUGUAGUUUUAACAUUGGUAGGCAUUAUGUUCGUGUUAUUUUAGCCCUCACUAUCGCUCGGGCAAAAAUAAUCACGAAUAUAAUGUCUACCCAUGUUAAAACUACAAUAAAGUAUAGAUUGCAUCAAUUAUUUCUUAAAUUAAACUG
RNAcentral lists this long non-coding RNA (297 nucleotides) under Mytilus galloprovincialis (Mediterranean mussel). Lineage: Eukaryota; Metazoa; Mollusca; Bivalvia; Mytilida; Mytilidae. The record is from RNAcentral.